Molecule: non-coding RNA, 825 nt
Filed under: Pseudohelice subquadrata
Lineage: Eukaryota; Metazoa; Arthropoda; Malacostraca; Decapoda; Varunidae
Source: RNAcentral
AGAUGUUUGAUUUUGGCUUGAGUUUUUAUGUUAUUAUUAAGGUUGCAUGAAAGUUAGAGCGAAAGGGGAAAACUUGAUUUUAUAUCGGGUUGGAACAUAAUAAAGUUUAAACUAUGAAGUUUUUAAUCUCAGCAUAAAGCAUUAUAAAGUAAAUAUACUAAAGUAUGAUAUAGUAAUAAUAUCAAAAUCUGAUAUACUUAUGUGCCAGCAUUCGCGGUUAUACCUAAAGAUUAAGUAAAAAGUUUAAGGUUGUAGUUAAAUGAAUUAUAUAGAUUGUGAUACAGGUACAAAUAAAUAAAAGGUAAAAUUAGGAUGUUAUUUUGUAUGGAAACUCAAUUAUAAUUGAAGCUAAGAAAAAUUAGUAAUAAACUAGGAUUAGAUACCCUACUAUUCUAAAGUAGUUAAAUUAAAACUGAAUUAGUAAAAGUUAGAUACUUAAAAUUUAAAAAAUUUGGCGGCAAUUUAAUCUUUUCAGAGGAACCUGUUUUAGAAUCGAUAAUCCACGAAAAAUCUUACUUGGCUUUGUUAUAAACAGUUUGUAUACCAUCAUUAUCAGAUGAUUCUUAGAGGAAGAAAUUGUUGGGUAUGGUUGUCUAAAUAAAUUAGAUCAUGGUGCAGCUUAUAGUCAAGGUAAAAUGGGUUACAAUAAAUUAUUUUAUUGCGGAUUAGACAAAAUAAUUUUGUUAUGAAGAAGGAUUUGAUUGUAUCAAAAGUUUAAUAAGCUAAUGAGAUAUAAGUUAUAAAUUGUGUACAUAUCGCCCGUCGCUUUCAUUUAUAAGUGAAAUAAGUCGUAACAUAGUAGAUGUACUGGAAGGUGCAUCUAGU